CCUACGUGCGACAGCAGUGAGGAAUAUUUGUCAAUGGGCGCGAGCCUGAACCAGCCAAGUAGCGUGAAGGAUGACUGCCCUACGGGUUGUAAACUUCUUUUAUAAAGGAAUAAAGUGAGGCACGUGUGCCUUUUUGUAUGUACUUUAUGAAUAAGGAUCGGCUAACUCCGUGCCAGCAGCCGCGGUAAUACGGAGGAUCCGAGCGUUAUCCGGAUUUAUUGGGUUUAAAGGGAGCGUAGAUGGGUUGUUAAGUCAGUUGUGAAAGUUUGCGGCUCAACCGUAAAAUUGCAAUUGAUACUGGCAGUCUUGAGUACAGUUGAGGUAGGCGGAAUUCGUGGUGUAGCGGUGAAAUGCUUAGAUAUCACGAAGAACUCCGAUUGCGAAGGCAGCUUACUAAACUGCCACUGACAUUGAUGCUCGAAAGUGUGGGUAUCAAACAGGAUUAGAUACCCCAGUAGUC
This 460-nucleotide ribosomal RNA is filed under the name uncultured bacterium. RNAcentral describes it as "partial 16S ribosomal RNA". It matches the Rfam family "Bacterial small subunit ribosomal RNA", at positions 338 to 795 of the family's 1533-position model. The record is from RNAcentral.